This 433-nucleotide ribosomal RNA is filed under the name uncultured bacterium. RNAcentral describes it as "partial 16S ribosomal RNA". It matches the Rfam family "Bacterial small subunit ribosomal RNA", at positions 28 to 507 of the family's 1533-position model. The record is from RNAcentral.
GACGAACGCUGGCGGCAGGCCUAACACAUGCAAGUCGAGCGAGGACUUCGGUUCUAGCGGCGGACGGGUGAGUAACGCGUGGGAAUGUACCCUUCUCUACGGAAUACCCCUGGUAAACUGGGCGUAAUACCGUAUACGCCCUUUUGGGGAAAGAUUUAUCGGAGCAGGAUCAGGCCGCGUUGGAUUAGGUAGUUGGUGGGGUAAUCGCCUACCAAGGGGACGAUCCAUAGCUGGUUUGAGAGGAUGAUCAGCCACGCUGGGGCUGAGACACGGCCCAGACUCGUACGGGAGGGAGCAGUGGGGAAUCUUAGAGAAUGGAGGCAACCCUGAUAGAGCCAUGCCGGGUAAGAGAUGAAGGCCUUAGGGUUGUAAAGCCCUUUCAGAUGGGGAGAGAAUGACGGUACCAGGAGAAGAAGCCCCGGCUAACUACGUG